CUAAUCAGCCCUGCAGUCACCUGAGCUCUCCCCACCUGCGCCUUCAUUCAUUACUCAAUCCACUUUGCGCUAAAUACAGCAAUCAGAUUUCGGUAACAUGCAGACUUAUAGUGACAAGUGGGCCAAUAAGUCGCUGAAAGUGGGUCCUUGCAAAAGAUCUGCAGUACAUUGAGAAUGAAUUAUCAAGGUUUGAAGAGCAACCAUACCCUUCGUCGACAUUGAAGAAUCACUGGGAUACGUGACCGGGCCUGGAGUAACGUAAUAUUAAUUAGGCCUCUGCACAACAUUUUAAAUAUUCCGGACCUAAGUCGUGGGAAGCCUUUACACAAUUGUAAGCAUCGGGACAAUAUCACCCGUGUUUUACAACUUGAAUGAACCAAUUCCAAGCAUUAUCCAGACAGGACAUUUUAAAACACCUGCCUCGCCAUCAAAGGUGAUCAGGAGGGUUCCAGCGCUCUACAAGUCUGAUAGUGUGGCUCACACGGCUGUCGGGCGAAUCCCUUUGUGGCAUGCCACAAACUGGGCAUGGAUUAAAGCGGGUCACAAUGACGAGUGUUAGAGCCACACUUGUCCACUGUGGAGAGCA
Long non-coding RNA from Xiphias gladius (swordfish), 586 nucleotides. RefSeq lists it as uncharacterized. The record is from RefSeq and is a predicted model, not a curated record. NCBI's taxonomy places the organism in Eukaryota, Metazoa, Chordata, Actinopteri, Istiophoriformes, Xiphiidae. The transcript is spliced from 3 exons.